RNAcentral lists this unclassified non-coding RNA (2332 nucleotides) under Hevea brasiliensis (rubber tree). The record is from RNAcentral. Lineage: Eukaryota; Viridiplantae; Streptophyta; Magnoliopsida; Malpighiales; Euphorbiaceae.
GCCAAGACGGUGCGUUUUAUCCUUCAAAAUUUCCCAACCUCUCGUCUCUAUGCUCUGCAUAAACCCUAAAAUUGAACCCUCCAACAUCCCACAAUCCAUCUCUCUAUAUCGGCCUCUCUCCAGUCCUGUCAAGUUGCUGAAUUUAUGAUACAUAUACUUUUAGAAGAGGCAAAAUGGCGUUUCGAUACCUACAGAGUAUUUGAAAAAUCAAGCAAUCAGUAGAACCCAGCUAUAAGAAGGUUUACGCUCACUUGUAAGUUCUAGCAUAAUCAAUUAUGAUUGCGUUUCUCUGUAGAAGAACACUACAAAUACCAGUUCCUACUUGUAGGUUUUCACCGAUAAGCUCCAUAAUCCAACUUGGUUGUAUGCAAGAUGGGUUAUUAUUUAGUGUUAGAUCUCUGUCAACAUUAUUGAAAUCUAUGGACCGUAAACAGAAGAAAUAUUCUUAUGCAGUGUCUUAUCUUGUAAACUCAUGUGGGUUUGCCCUGGAAUUUGCUGAAUCUAUAUCUAAGAAGGUAAAAUUUGAAUCCCCUGAUAAACCGGAUGAAGUGGUUAGCCUUCUCACAGAGUACGGGUUCACGAAAGACCACAUCUCCAGGCUUAUUAGGAGAAGACCCCAGCUGCUUUUGGCCAAUCCUACGACGAACCUUUUGCCCAAACUGGAGUUUCUACGUUCAAUUGGUGUUUCAAUCUCAGAUCUUGGUCAGAUGCUGUCUGGUAACCCUGAUUUAUUGUGCCGGAGCUUAGACCAUUUCCUCAUUCCUUGCUAUAAUAUCCUCAAAAGUGUACUUAUUUCUGAUGAAAAAUUGGUCAAGGCUUUGAAGCGCUCAAACGGGAUUGUUGUUUCCUCAUUGCCUGAGAAUUUGUCAGUUAAUUCAUUAAUCCUAAGAGAAAAUGGAGUGCCUCAAUCUAUCAUCUCUUAUUUGUUGAUCUAUAAACCUUCCGUGGCAUGCAUGAAGCCUGCCAAAUUUAGGCAACUUGUUAACAAGGUUAUUGAUAUUGGAUUUGACCCUCUGAAGUCUACAUUUGCACAUGCACUGGUAUUUGUGUCUUUUCCUAAUGUCUGGGAGCGGAAGAUAGUGUUUUAUAGGAGUUGUGGCUUAUCAGAAGAUGAAAUAUGGUUGGCUAUCAGAAAGUUUCCCUUGUGUAUGAAUUUCUCAAUUAAGAAAAUUAGAAACACCAUGGAUUUUCUUGUGAACAAGAUGGGUUGGCUGCCUGGAGAUGUUGCCAGAGUUCCAAGUGUAUUAUGUUAUAGUUUGGAGAAGAGGAUUGUUCCAAGGUGUUCAGUUGUAAAAGUUUUGAUAUUGAAAGGUUUGAUCAAGGGAGAUAUUAAUUUAUCUACUGUGUUGACAGCCACUGAGAAGUACUUCCUGGAUUUGUUUGUGAUAAAGUAUCAGGAAGAGGUACCUCAACUCUUGAGUAUCUUCCGAGGAGAAAUAAAUAUUGUGGAAUUUGGAUUUGGAUUUGAGUAAAAACCAUCCGUAGUUUCCCCCUUACCCGAUGCUGGGUAAUUGUGGCUUAGCUUUAUUGGACUUUUUAACUGCUGGCUGUAGACUGUCUCUAAUGUGGUUCUCUUGUAAGUGAUUUUACUACAUACCUUCAUUUUAUUAGAGAUAUUUGAGGUAUUGGUAGGGAAGUCAUAGGUCCGGAUAACUCAACUGCCUUGCAGCGCUCUAAAGGUUUCCAAUGCUUCAGUUCAGUGUCUUAUUUUCAUUGAAGAACUCUCUGCCAUCAAUCUGAUAAUGAUGAAUCAUAGUUAAGAAUAUUAAAAGUUUUGCUUACCUGUCCUAUCUUCUUUUUCCUGAUGAUUUGCCGGAGUUUUCAUGUUAUCUAUCCUCUUUUAUGCACUUUGUGCCUUAUUUUAUAAACGUGCAACACCAACACAUGGCCGCUUGCUUAUAUAUAUGAUCCAGAUUUAUAUAUAUACUUGUAUAGUAUGUUGUCUAGUCUAGUGGAGGAUUGAUAAAUGUUAAUCCCCUGCAGAACCAGUGAAGAUUUUCUAAGAAAGGUUGAGAAUUUAGGUGUGCAAGUGCAAGAAAACAAUGAAAGUAGAAGGAUGAAACUCACUGUUUUAUGAGUAAGGAUGCACAUGUACCGGAUUCACCUAAUAAUUUGCUGGCAUCUUCACUGGUGUUGGGAAACAAACAAAAAAGUCAAAGGGGGGAGAUUGAAGGAGCCAUCAAAUAUGCCAUUGGUUAUGUGAAAAGUGAAAUGGGUUUCUAUGGAUAGUUGCAGGAAGGUUCACUAAUCCAAUAACCAAUUAUAACAGGGGUAAUCCUGCUUCAAUGAAAAUAAUUAAUGUUGUUUCCAAGAUUAAGAAAUGUAAAAUCCU